Molecule: small RNA, 299 nt
Filed under: Mycobacterium sp. NAZ190054
Lineage: Bacteria; Bacillati; Actinomycetota; Actinomycetes; Mycobacteriales; Mycobacteriaceae
Description: 5' ureB small RNA
Rfam family: 5' ureB small RNA
Source: Rfam by way of RNAcentral
UACUCGUAGAGCUGCUGCACCGAGUCGAAGUGGGGGUGGAUGUCGAUCAGACCCGGUGUGACGAUUUGGCCUUCGACCGACAGGAUGUCGGUGUUGGGACCGAUGAUCAGGCCGGGGGUGAUCUCCAUAACGUCGGGAUUGCCGGCCUUGCCGAUGCCGACGAUUUUGCCGUCGAGGAUGCCGAUGUCGCAUUUGAUCACGCCCAGCAGGGGGUCGAUCACCACGGCGUUGGUCACCACCAUGUCCAGUGCGCCGUCGGACCUCUUGAACCGGGACACCUGUCCCAUACCGUCACGGAU